UACGAAGGGGGCUAGCGUUGCUCGGAAUCACUGGGCGUAAAGGGUGCGUAGGCGGGUCUUUAAGUCAGGGGUGAAAUCCUGGAGCUCAACUCCAGAACUGCCUUUGAUACUGAGGAUCUUGAGUUCGGGAGAGGUGAGUGGAACUGCGAGUGUAGAGGUGGAAUUCGUAGAUAUCGGAAGGAACAUCAGUGGCGAAGGCGACUUCCUGGACCAAUACUGACGCUCAGGUGCGAAAGCGUGGGGAGCAAACAGG
Molecule: ribosomal RNA, 253 nt
Filed under: uncultured bacterium
Lineage: Bacteria
Description: partial 16S ribosomal RNA
Rfam family: Bacterial small subunit ribosomal RNA
Source: RNAcentral